RNAcentral lists this long non-coding RNA (3522 nucleotides) under Trifolium pratense (red clover). RNAcentral describes it as "long non-coding RNA (TPRA_LNC004788)". Lineage: Eukaryota; Viridiplantae; Streptophyta; Magnoliopsida; Fabales; Fabaceae. The record is from RNAcentral.
UCAAGUAAAGGUAAAGAAAUUCUUCAACGAGGAGCAAAAGAAUGGAAGAAAUAUUGAGUGAUUCUUUACGAAAUUAGUUAUUCCAAAAUAAAUUCCACAGCAAAAACUCUAGCAACUACCCAGGCAUGCACUAAAAGUAGAAGGGGUUCCAAAGAGACUAACAUAUAGUCAAUCAUGGAUGGCAUCAUUCUUAUUUCCUUUUCAAUUUUUUUUGUCAAAACAUUGAUGUGCCUCUUCAGCACUAUGCCAAUCACCUAUUUUCAAAUUUAUUUCAUUCUACUCAAUAUGGAUGUCACCCCUAGUUCUGAUUUAUACUCUGUUCAAUUUUUUCAAACAUUGGUUGAGAAAAUAAAAUUUACUACCAAAUUAACAUCUCAACAAAAAUGUCCGUACAACACUCAAUAACAAAUUCAAACUAACACACUAUUAGCCGGAAAAACUCCUACGAAUCCCACCAUUUGGGGAAUUGAUUUCACCAAGUAAUAGAACUCACAUAAUUCAGUGUGAUUCGAAGUAUUUCACCUGAUGAUAGUGUGUAUUGGCAAAAGUGUUCAAUAGAGGGUGUUGCUGCAUUAUUCAUGAAUCAUGACCAUAAUAUCAUUCAAGAAAGAAAUUGUAAUAAUACUUCAAAGAGAUUCAAAAAUAGAUCCCUUCAAAGAAGUGCCACCAUUUCAAGUAGAGAUCAUGGGUGAAUAUUCAAUAAAUCUUAAUAUUUCCAUCUACAGUAUUUUGCUACAUACUUAAAAAUCCAAAAAUACCUGUAUGAAGAAAUUUCUGCUUGUUCAAUUUCCAACUGCUUCUGAAGCUUUAGCUCAUUUGAUCUUAGUCUGAGUGCCUAAGAAGUUUAUUGAACACAACAAUAAAUUAAAAGUUGGAAUCUAAUAUAUCUAUUAUUCCUAACUUUUAGUAACAGUCAACCUUCAUGUGCUCAUUAAAAAAGUGAUGCUUAUGCCUGUGUUUCUGCUCGAUAGACAUUACAUAAUCACUUAUAUCAAGGGUGGAUGUGGUGAUGUUUUUAUUGAACCAGUCAAUGCAGAGAUAUUUUUACAUUAAAAUUCGAACAUUAACAUUUCUGUCCUGUUAAGUUUUUGGGCUAAAGCAUGGACAUUUGGUCUGAUGAAGAUGUGAUUCAUCCAAGUUGGAGCCCAUUACAUAUACAUUUAGUCACAUCGCAAGCACGUUCUACAAAUGGCCCGAGUUUCUAUAUAUUUAUAUUACAAGCUUGUCUAGUUUGUAUAUACUAACUAGAUUUCGGAUGAAGAGGUUAUCAUUUAAAAUUUGAGAUGUUUUUUCUGAUAUUACUAAUUAUCGAUCAUUUAAGUAGAUAUUUUGAAUGUCGUUAAUAUAUAGUAACUUCUAAAGAAAUAUUUAAUCAAUGUCAACCUACUAAUUUUUUGUUUAAAGAAGGGUGAUGUGAACAGAGCAAAAUUAAACUUCGUAUCUUUUCCAAGCAAGCACCUUUAACUUUAACUUGCCACAAGUAGCCCCUGAAUUGUUAUAAUGAGUUUGCUUUUAACUUAGUUAACUCAAAACCUAUGACCAAAUCAUAAUCGCUGUAGACAUUAACAAUUUCAGAUGAUUGUAGAUUAGUUAAUUUCAGAUGUGACAAAUUCCUCACCUAGACAAAAAUAUGCAGUUACAAAACAACUCAGAUGACAACUUGAUUUCAAAUAGAAGAUGACAAUUUUACAUGGUAUUCACAUUUAAAUACAAAUGCAGAACAUACCAAGAACAGAAUACUACCUUCUCCUCUAAGCCAAUGACUUCAGAUGCCAAUAACUUGGCACGCUCAUCAGCUGCAUUACACUCAAGUUGCACAUUUGUAUAUUCACUCCUAAUAGACUCCAGCUCAACCUGUUGAUGUGAAAUGUCAGAUACGUACCAAUAACAGUUAAUAGAGGCAAAUGGAGGAAGAACAAAGUGGAAAGCCUAUAGAGAGAUGCACAGAAAGUAUUAAAUAAAUAGGCAAGGCAAAAGAAAAAUGAUUGUAUAUAAGAUAUUUGAUGACAUCAAAUUUAACACCUCUCGUAGAAAGCGUGUUAAGUCAAAUAAUCCCCAUGGUGAUGUACAGUUUCAAGAAACCACCGAUAUCAAUUAAAAUGGAAGGGAUUUUUAAAAAUGUAUAAAAAAUGCUAUUCUAUAUAGCCAAAAUAGAAUACAAACAUUGCAGACAAAAGGUUACUCAGUCAUCCAAUGCAUCUAACCAGCACAUUUCUAUUCACCAAAGAUUUGAGAUAAGAAUAAAAAUGAUGUCAAUAAGAAGCUCAGUUCACCAGACUUUGUAAGUUUGGCUCGAAAGAUGCCCGAGUUACAUGGAGUCUUAUGAGACUAAAUAAACUGAGCCGAGCUAUAACAACCUUUAUAUCCAGAUUAAAAUACCAUAACCCAGCUUGAUUAAUCAUAUAAUAUUAUGUGAUUUAGUAUUAUAAUUUAUAUUUGUAAAGCUAUAGACUAAUAAUUACUGCAUAAUAGAAUACCAGCACGGCAAAAUGGUAUGCAAAUAGAUAGGGAGUAUUUAUACAAACCAGUUGUGCUUUGAUCUCUUGCUGUAAGUUCUCCAUGUCUGAUUUUAAUUGAUUGACGACACUUCUCUAUGAAAACAAAAAACAAAUCAUUAUAAAACAAAGCAGAAGACUGAUUUGUAUCCUUACAGACAACUAUGGUACUCCAAAAACACAAUGUAGCAAUUUAAAUCCAAAUCAGAGUGCAUAUAAUGGCAAAGUAACAAAGAACCAAGUACUAAGACAAAUUAUUAACCCACUAACAAAGGACGAAGAAGAAAUUACAUCUGCCUUUCAAGAUAUUUGCACAAUUUCUAUAGACAACUAAGUUCCUUUUCUAAGUCCCCAGACACAACAAAAUAUUCAAAUGUUUGAUCGCAUAUCAGAGGAGUACAAGUAGACCAAAAAGGCACUGAUUUGAAGAAAGCCACAGAAACCACUGCUCCGAUUAUUGCACAUAUCAUGUUAUUCAAAAAUGUGUGUGUGUGUAUGUGUGUUCAUGCGCUAUAGUGGAUGGACUUGGUUUCAACCUAUCCAGGACUGUAGGUCAACCCAUGUUCAAACCUCAAUAAGGAAAAAAAUCAUGUCAGCAAUGCAAGCUAACUGGACAGGACACAGGUUCAGUUUAUAAUGGAAUCGAUCGGACUGGCUGAUCUAUUCCAACUUCCUCAACAUUUUCAGGGGAAUCUUGGCACAACAGGCAGAGUUGAUGUUGAGUGACUGGAGGUCAUGCGCUGGAGUCAUGGAAUCAAUCUUUUGUGAAACCAAGGAAAGGCUGUUUACAAUAGAUAUGAAUGGGUACUUCCUUGAACCCUACCAUGAUGGAAACUUUAUAACACUGGGUUUCCCUCAACAUGAAAUAUCAAAAUGAAAUAUCAAAAUAUGUUUGCAUAAACACAUUAUGAUAUAAAAUCUAAAAGUACAUAUAUUCUACUAUGAUAACAAUGAAAAUCGUCAAUGCCAAUGGCAAGUGGUUGAUGAUGAAAAUAAGCAAAAGACAAAUAAAAAUAUGAUACUAAUA